CCGAGUUUACAACUCCCGAACCCCUGUGAACAUACCUUUAUGUUGCCUCGGCGGAUCAGCCCGCGCCCCGUAAAACGGGACGGCCCGCCGCAGGAAACCCUAAACUCUGUUUUUAGUGGAACUUCUGAGUAUAAAAAACAAAUAAAUCA
RNAcentral lists this unclassified non-coding RNA (149 nucleotides) under soil metagenome. Its description in RNAcentral is "partial internal transcribed spacer 1". The record is from RNAcentral.